AUUGAACGCUGGCGGCAGGCCUAACACAUGCAAGUCGAGCGAGCGGCGGACGGGUGAGUAAUGCCUGGGAAUUGCCCAGUCGAGGGGGAUAACAGUUGGAAACGACUGCUAAUACCGCAUACGAUUGGAUUGCCCAGGUGGGAUUGGCUAGUUGGUGAGGUAAUGGCUCACCAAGGCGACGAUCCCUAGCUGGUCUGAGAGGAUGAUCAGCCACAAUGGAACUGAGAAGCGGUCAAGAAUCCUACGAGAGGCAGCAGUGGGGAAUAUUGGACAAUGGGGGAAACCCUGAUGCAGCCAUACCGCGUGUGUGAAGAAGGCCUUCGGGUGGUAAAGCACUUUCAGCGAGGAGGCGUUACUCGCAGAAGAAGCACCGGCUAACUCCGUGCCAGCAGCCGCGGUAAUUC
Molecule: ribosomal RNA, 404 nt
Filed under: uncultured bacterium
Lineage: Bacteria
Description: partial 16S ribosomal RNA
Rfam family: Bacterial small subunit ribosomal RNA
Source: RNAcentral